AUGCUGGGAGUGGGAGGGACGCGGAAACGUGGAAGGAAAGCGAAGGACUCUGCUCAGGAGAAAAACAGGGCCGUGCCAUGGACCCCAGACGAGCACAGGCUGUUCUUGGCGGGGAUCAAAGAACACGGCGUAGGCAAGUGGCAGAAGCUGGCCCGGGAGUUCGUGCCGACGAGGAACGCGUCCCAGAUCGCGAGCCACUACCAAAAGUACAGCAUCAGGCAGCAGAAGCUACGCCGCAACGAGUGCAAGCGGCCGAGCAUCCAUGACAUCAACGACGAUGACACACUGAGCCCUGCCGGCAAGCAGUCAGCUGCAGCUGUAGGCGAAGCUGGAGGUGGAUGCUGA
This 345-nucleotide ribosomal RNA is filed under the name Triticum aestivum (bread wheat). RNAcentral describes it as "partial small subunit ribosomal RNA". Lineage: Eukaryota; Viridiplantae; Streptophyta; Magnoliopsida; Poales; Poaceae. The record is from RNAcentral.